This 1579-nucleotide ribosomal RNA is filed under the name Mus spretus (western wild mouse). RNAcentral's name for it is "16S ribosomal RNA". It matches the Rfam family "Bacterial large subunit ribosomal RNA". The record is from RNAcentral. Lineage: Eukaryota; Metazoa; Chordata; Mammalia; Rodentia; Muridae.
ACUAAUCCUAGCCCUAGCCUUCACAAAUAUAAUUACAUCAUUUCAUAAAUCAAAACAUUUAACCCACUAAAAGUAUUGGAGAAAGAAAUUCGUACAUCUAGGAGCUAUAGAACUAGUACCGUAAGGGAAAGAUGAAAGAUCAAUUAAAAGUAAAAAUAAGCAAAGAUUAAACCUUGUACCUUUUGCAUAAUGAAUUAACUAGAAAACUUCUAACUAAAAGAAUUACAGCUAGAAACCCCGAAACCAAACGAGCUACCUAAAAACAAUUUAAUGAAUCAACUCGUCUAUGUGGCAAAAUAGUGAGAAGAUUUUUAGGUAGAGGUGAAAAGCCUAACGAGCUUGGUGAUAGCUGGUUACCCAAAAAAUGAAUUUAAGUUCAACUUUAAACUUGCUAAAAAAACAAUAAAAUCAAAAAGUAAGUUUAAAUUAUAGCCAAAAGAGGGACAGCUCUUUUGGAACGGAAAAAACCUUUAAUAGUGAAUAAUUAAUAAAUCAACCUUUAACCAUUGUAGGCCUAAAAGCAGCCACCAACAAAGAAAGCGUUCAAGCUCAACAUAAAAUUUUAACUAAUCUCACAAUUUACAUCAACUUCCUAAACUUAAAAUUGGGUUAAUCUAUAAUUUUAUAGAUGCAACACUGUUAGUAUGAGUAACAAGAAUUCUAAUUCUCCAGGCAUACGCAUAUAACAACUCGGAUAACCAUUGUUAGUUAAUCAAACUAUAGGCAAUACUUAUAAUAUAAACAAUUUACCUAUAACUACUCUGUUAACCCAACACCGGAAUGCCUUAAGGAAAGAUCUAAAAAGAUAAAAGGAACUCGGCAAACAAGAACCCCGCCUGUUUACCAAAAACAUCACCUCUAGCAUAACAAGUAUUAGAGGCACUGCCUGCCCAGUGACUAAAGUUUAACGGCCGCGGUAUCCUGACCGUGCAAAGGUAGCAUAAUCACUUGUUCCUUAAUUAGGGACUAGCAUGAAUGGCUAAACGAGGGUUCAACUGUCUCUUAUCUUUAAUCAGUGAAAUUGACCUUUCAGUGAAGAGGCUGAAAUACAAUAAUAAGACGAGAAGACCCUAUGGAGCUUAAAUUACACGACUUAUCUAUUCAUUUUAUAAACCUAAUGGCCCAAAAACUAUAGUGUAAGUCUGAAAUUUCGGUUGGGGUGACCUCGGAGAAUAAAAAAUCCUCCGAAUGAUUAUAACCUAGACCUACAAGUCAAAGUAAAAUCAACAUAUCUUAUUGACCCAAUACAUUUUGAUCAACGGACCAAGUUACCCUAGGGAUAACAGCGCAAUCCUAUUUAAGAGUUCAUAUCGACAAUCAGGGUUUACGACCUCGAUGUUGGAUCAGGACAUCCCAAUGGUGUAGAAGCUAUUAAUGGUUCGUUUGUUCAACGAUUAAAGUCCUACGUGAUCUGAGUUCAGACCGGAGCAAUCCAGGUCGGUUUCUAUCUAUUUACAAUUUCUCCCAGUACGAAAGGACAAGAGAAAUAGAGCCACCUUACAAAUAAGCGCUCUCAACUUAAUUUACGAAUAAAAUCUUAAUAAAAUAUGUAUGUACAUCCUCUAACCUAGAGAAGGUU